RNAcentral lists this ribosomal RNA (520 nucleotides) under uncultured archaeon. RNAcentral's name for it is "bacterial SSU rRNA". It matches the Rfam family "Archaeal small subunit ribosomal RNA", at positions 325 to 849 of the family's 1478-position model. The record is from RNAcentral.
ACGGGGUGCAGCAGGCGCGAAACCUCCACAAUGCGCGAAAGCGUGAUGGGGUUAUCCCGAGUGCCGUCCGAUGAGGAUGGCUUUUUAUCGAUGUAAGGAUUCGAUAGAAUAAAGGGGGGGCAAGACUGGUGUCAGCCGCCGCGGUAAUACCAGCCCCCUGAGUGGUAAGGACGAUUAUUUGGCCUAAAGCGUUCGUAGCCGGCUUAUCAAGUCUUUUGUUAAAUCCAACGAUUUAAUCGUUGGGCCGCAAAAGAUACUGUUAUGCUAGAGGACGGGAGAGGUCGACGGUAGUCCAGGGGUAGGGGUGAAAUCCUAUAAUCCUUGGAGGACCACCAGUGGCGAAGGCGGUCGACUAGAACGUGCCUGACGGUGAGGGACGAAAGCUGGGGGAGCGAACCGGAUUAGAUACCCGGGUAGUCCCAGCUGUAAACGAUGCGGGCUAGGUGUUGGGGCAGCCACGAGCUGCUCCAGUGCCGCAGAGAAGUUGUUAAGCCCGCCGCCUGGGAGUACGCCGCAAGGC